This 213-nucleotide unclassified non-coding RNA is filed under the name uncultured Clavaria. RNAcentral's name for it is "sequence contains ITS2". The record is from RNAcentral. Lineage: Eukaryota; Fungi; Basidiomycota; Agaricomycetes; Agaricales; Clavariaceae.
AUCUCUCAACACAAGAAAUUUUGUUUCUUGUGCUUGGUAUUGAAGGUCUUGCUGGCGCAAACAACUGUCAGCUCCUUUUAAAUGUAUUAGCAGAGCAGUACAGGACUGGCCUCGGUUUGAUAAGAAAUAUUAUCUAUGCUGUCGCUAGAUUUCCUCUUUGUGUUCAGCUUCAAAUUGUCUUCGGACUGCCUCUUGUGGCAAUAACAUCUUAUU